Molecule: ribosomal RNA, 1362 nt
Filed under: uncultured bacterium
Lineage: Bacteria
Description: 16S ribosomal RNA
Rfam family: Bacterial small subunit ribosomal RNA
Source: RNAcentral
GAUGAACGCUAGCGACAGGCUUAACACAUGCAAGUCGAGGGGCAGCAGGGGAGUAGCAAUAUUCCCGCUGGCGACCGGCGCACGGGUGAGUAACACGUAUGCAACCUGCCCUUGUCAGGGGGAUAAGCGGAAGAAAUUCCGUCUAAUACCGCAUAAUGCUGCGGGGAGACAUCUCCCUGCAGCCAAAGAUUUAUCGGACAAGGAUGGGCAUGCGGCGCAUUAGCUGGUUGGCGGGGUAACGGCCCACCAAGGCGACGAUGCGUAGGGGUUCUGAGAGGAAGGUCCCCCACACUGGUACUGAGACACGGACCAGACUCCUACGGGAGGCAGCAGUGAGGAAUAUUGGUCAAUGGCCGGGAGGCUGAACCAGCCAAGUCGCGUGAGGGAAGACGGUCCUAUGGAUUGUAAACCUCUUUUGUCAGGGAGCAAAAACUGCCACGCGUGGCAGGAUGAGAGUACCUGAAGAAGAAGCAUCGGCUAACUCCGUGCCAGCAGCCGCGGUAAUACGGAGGAUGCGAGCGUUAUCCGGAUUUAUUGGGUUUAAAGGGUGCGUAGGCGGACAGUUAAGUCAGCGGUAAAAUUGAGAGGCUCAACCUCUUCCCGCCGUUGAAACUGAUUGUCUUGAGUGGGCGAGAAGUAUGCGGAAUGCGUGGUGUAGCGGUGAAAUGCAUAGAUAUCACGCAGAACUCCGAUUGCGAAGGCAGCAUACCGGCGCCCAACUGACGCUGAAGCACGAAAGCGUGGGUAUCGAACAGGAUUAGAUACCCUGGUAGUCCACGCAGUAAACGAUGAAUACUAAUUGUUCGGGUCAAAUGAGAUCUGAGUGAUACAGCGAAAGCGUUAAGUAUUCCACCUGGGGAGUACGCCGGCAACGGUGAAACUCAAAGGAAUUGACGGGGGCCCGCACAAGCGGAGGAACAUGUGGUUUAAUUCGAUGAUACGCGAGGAACCUUACCCGGGCUCAAACGACACAGGAAUGAUCUGAGAAAUCAGGCAGUCCUCCGGGACCUGUGUCGAGGUGCUGCAUGGUUGUCGUCAGCUCGUGCCGUGAGGUGUCGGCUUAAGUGCCAUAACGAGCGCAACCCCCAUCGACAGUUGCCAGCAGGUGAAGCUGGGCACUCUGUCGAGACUGCCGGCGCAAGCUGUGAGGAAGGCGGGGAUGACGUCAAAUCAGCACGGCCCUUACGUCCGGGGCGACACACGUGUUACAAUGGCAGGUACAGCGGGAAGCCACCUGGCGACAGGGAGCGGAACCCGAAAGCCUGUCUCAGUUCGGAUUGGAGUCUGCAACUCGACUCCAUGAAGCUGGAUUCGCUAGUAAUCGCGCAUCAGCCACGGCGCGGUGAAUACGUUCCCGGGCCU